Molecule: ribosomal RNA, 423 nt
Filed under: uncultured microorganism
Description: bacterial SSU rRNA
Rfam family: Bacterial small subunit ribosomal RNA
Source: RNAcentral
GAGUUUGAUCGUGGCUCAGAUUGAACGCUGGCGGCAUGCCUUACACAUGCAAGUCGAACGGCAGCAUGAUCUAGCUUGCUAGAUUGAUGGCGAGUGGCGAACGGGUGAGUAAUACAUCGGAACGUGCCCUGUAGUGGGGGAUAACUAGUCGAAAGAUUAGCUAAUACCGCAUACGACCUGAGGGUGAAAGUGGGGGACCGCAAGGCCUCAUGCUAUAGGAGCGGCCGAUGUCUGAUUAGCUAGUUGGUGGGGUAAAGGCCCACCAAGGCGACGAUCAGUAGCUGGUCUGAGAGGACGAUCAGCCACACUGGGACUGAGACACGGCCCAGACUCCUACGGGAGGCAGCAGUGGGGAAUUUUGGACAAUGGGGGCAACCCUGAUCCAGCAAUGCCGCGUGUGUGAAGAAGGCCUUCGGUUGUAAG